Molecule: ribosomal RNA, 253 nt
Filed under: uncultured bacterium
Lineage: Bacteria
Description: partial 16S ribosomal RNA
Rfam family: Bacterial small subunit ribosomal RNA
Source: RNAcentral
GACGGAGGAUGCAAGUGUUAUCCGGAAUCACUGGGCGUAAAGCGUCUGUAGGUGGUUCGAAAAGUCCACUGUUAAAAAUUGAAGCUAAACUUCAAAGAUGCCGUGGAAACUUUCAAACUAGAGUGUGGUAGGGGUAGAGGGAAUUUCCAGUGGAGCGGUGAAAUGCGUAGAUAUUGGAAAGACCACCGAUGGCGAAGGCACUCUACUGGGCCAUUACUGACACUGAGAGACGAAAGCUAGGGGAGCAAAUGGG